Molecule: ribosomal RNA, 253 nt
Filed under: uncultured bacterium
Lineage: Bacteria
Description: partial 16S ribosomal RNA
Rfam family: Bacterial small subunit ribosomal RNA
Source: RNAcentral
UACAGAGGGGGCAAGCGUUGUUCGGAAUUACUGGGCGUAAAGGGCGCGUAGGCGGCCUUCUAAGUCGAACGUGAAAUCCCUGGGCUCAACCCAGGAACUGCGUCCGAUACUGGUUGGCUUGAAUCCGGGGGAGGGAUGUGGAAUUCCAGGUGUAGCGGUGAAAUGUGUAGAGAUCAGCAGGAAUACCCGUGGCGAAGGCGGCCCCCUGGGCCGUAUCUGACGCCGAGGCGCGAAGGCUAGGGGAGCGAACGGG